AUGUGCUGCAGGACAAACUUCCAGUCUCAUCAGUUCCUUGCUCACAGUGGCCACACAAGAGCCUGCACACCCAGGGAGAGGACACGAUGUAGUUGUGGGAAGGCGGAGCAGGCAGGCAUUACGUACGUGCAGAAACCCAGUGACUGCAACAACGCUGCUCUCACGGGGGAAGCAUGCUGGGUCUGGCCAGUUUCAACCUGCAGUUUGGUGAUAGCACUGCAAAGUCCCAGUAGAAGCAUAAAGGUUCUUCCAUCCAGAUACAGCCCUGGCCAGGCUGUAAAUUUUGAUUUUGAAGCUGCACAAUGCAUGCUUUGAUUCCACUGUUUUGAAGUCCUGCUUGUAGAUGUAAAAUCAUGACUGAAAGCUGAUGGUGUCUACAAGAAUGCCAGCUGGCUGGAGGAUGGAGGCUGCAGGAUAAAUCAAGAGCUGGGGGUGUAUGUAUGUGGGUGACCACCAUGUCUGAAUGUUUUAUCCCCAAACCAGCACUCAAGCUGAGGCCUUCAGGCAUUCAGUCUUAUUCUAGAAAGUUACCAGCCAGCAAUUCUGUGGCUUCGGAGUCACCACAUAUCUCCAUCCCAACCCUCAUAUUUAAGAUGAAAAACU
RNAcentral lists this long non-coding RNA (603 nucleotides) under Numida meleagris (helmeted guineafowl). RNAcentral's name for it is "lncRNA (ENSNMEG00000017320.1)". Lineage: Eukaryota; Metazoa; Chordata; Aves; Galliformes; Numididae. The record is from RNAcentral.